AGAGUUUGAUCCUGGCUCAAGACGAACGCUGGCGGCGUGCUUAAUACGUGCAAGUCGAGCGAGGUUAUUACCUCAAAGUCCUUCGGGAUGGCGAAGUUUUAACCUAGCGGCGGACGGGUGAGUAACGCGUGGGUAACCUACCCUGAAGUUCGGGAUAACAGUUGGAAACGAUUGCUAAUACCGAAUGGUCUUAUUUUUUGGCAUCAAAGAAUAAGUAAAGGAUACGCUUCAGGAUGGACCCGCGUCCCAUUAGCUAGUUGGUGAGGUAAUAGCUCACCAAGGCGACGAUGGGUAGCCGGCCUGAGAGGGUGGACGGCCACACUGGGACUGAGACACGGCCCACACUCCUACGGGAGGCAGCAGUAGGGAAUAUUGCGCAAUGGAGGGAACUCUGACGCAGCGACGCCGCGUGAGCGAUGAAGGUCUUCGGAUCGUAAAGCUCUGUCCUCGGGGAAGAAGGUCACUAAGUGACUUGACGGUACCCGUGGAGGAAGCCCCGGCUAAUUACGUGCCAGCAGCCGCGGUAAUACGUAGGGGGCAAGCGUUGUCCGGAAUUAUUGGGCGUAAAGGGCGCGCAGGCUGCGUUACAAGUCAGCUGUUAAAUGCAUGGGCUUACCCCAUGAGUGCGGUUGAAACUGUAGUGCUAGAGUACUGUAGAGGCAAGCGGAAUUCCCAGUGUAGCGGUGAAAUGCGUAGAUAUUGGGAGGAACACCGGUGGCGUAGGCGGCUUGCUGGACAGUAACUGACGCUGAGGCGCGAAAGCCAGGGGAGCAAACGGGAUUAGAUACCCCGGUAGUCCUGGCUGUAAACGAAGGAUGGUAGGUGUGGGUGUAGCGAUACAUUUGUGCCGUAGUUAACGCGGUAAGCAUUCCGCCUGGGGAGGACGAUCGCAAGAUUGAAACUCAAAGGAAUUGACGGGGGGCCGCACAAGCGGUGGAGCACGUGGUUUAAUUCGAUGCAAACCGAAGAACCUUACCUGGGUUUGACAUGUACGUGUUACUGAGAUGAAAGUUGAGGGACCUAGUUUUCGGAUUAGGAGCGUACACAGGUGCUGCAUGGCUGUCGUCAGCUCGUGUCGUGAGAUGUUGGGUUAAGUCCCGCAACGAGCGCAACCCCUGCAUUCAGUUGCCAUCGGGUGAGGCCGGGCACUCUGAAAGGACUGCCAUCGACAAGAUGGAGGAAGGUGGGGAUGACGUCAAGUCAUCAUGGCCCUUAUAUCCAGGGCGACACACGUGCUACAAUGGCCGGCACAGCGGGAAGCGAGUCAGUGAUGGCAAGCGGAUCCCUCAAAGCCGGUCCCAGUUCGGAUUGAAGUCUGCAACUCGACUUCAUGAAGCAGGAAUCGCUAGUAAUCGCAGAUCAGCCAAGCUGCGGUGAAUACGUUCCCGGGCCUUGUACACACCGCCCGUCA
This 1411-nucleotide ribosomal RNA is filed under the name uncultured bacterium. Its description in RNAcentral is "bacterial SSU rRNA". It matches the Rfam family "Bacterial small subunit ribosomal RNA". The record is from RNAcentral.